RNAcentral lists this ribosomal RNA (442 nucleotides) under uncultured bacterium. RNAcentral's name for it is "bacterial SSU rRNA". It matches the Rfam family "Bacterial small subunit ribosomal RNA", at positions 958 to 1399 of the family's 1533-position model. The record is from RNAcentral.
AACGCGAAGAACCUUACCUACCCUUGACAUCCUCGGAAUCUUGCAGAGAUGCAGGAGUGCCUUCGGGAACCGAGAGACAGGUGCUGCAUGGCUGUCGUCAGCUCGUGUUGUGAGAUGUUGGGUUAAGUCCCGUAACGAGCGCAACCCCUGUGCCUAGUUGCCAGCGAGUAAAGUCGGGAACUCUAGGGAGACUGCCGGUGACAAACCGGAGGAAGGUGGGGAUGACGUCAAGUCAUCAUGGCCUUUAUGGGUAGGGCCACACACGUGCUACAAUGGUCGGUACAAAGGGAAGCCAACCCGCGAGGGGGAGCAAAUCUCAGAAAACCGAUCGUAGUCCGGAUUGGAGUCUGGAACUCGACUCCAUGAAGUUGGAAUCGCUAGUAAUCGCGGAUCAGAACGCCGCGGUGAAUACGUUCCCGGGCCUUGUACACACCGCUCGCGA